Molecule: long non-coding RNA, 407 nt
Organism: Eriocheir sinensis (Chinese mitten crab)
Lineage: Eukaryota; Metazoa; Arthropoda; Malacostraca; Decapoda; Varunidae
Exons: 3
Source: RefSeq, a predicted model, not a curated record
UGUGUGUGUGGUGGGCCUGCGCAGAGUGACCAUUACCUGCGCACUCCUCCCUCACCAAGCUCUCCCUCCCUCUCACCUUCCUCGGCCGCCAUCACGAGAGCACCCCCACACCUGCUGGCCCCGUAAUUAAUGCAGGGUUGGCCGUCCGAGCAGCGUCAGCCACCUCGUCUUCCCUCUUCGACGUGGUGCCGCGCACGAACAUGAUCUUGGAGCCUCCGCCUGCAGGAGAAACAGGGAUCAGUAUUAGCAGCAACUAUUGUUGUCAGCAAGUGUUUGAAGACAACCCGGAGAACUCCAGGGAGCAGCAAGAACGGCGCAAUCUAUUGAGCAUGGGCUGACUGAGGAGGCUGAACGAAAAACUGAAAAAUGGCGGCAGUAAUGCCAUACCUGCAGCGGCUGUGGUGGAG